RNAcentral lists this ribosomal RNA (460 nucleotides) under uncultured bacterium. RNAcentral's name for it is "partial 16S ribosomal RNA". It matches the Rfam family "Bacterial small subunit ribosomal RNA", at positions 338 to 795 of the family's 1533-position model. The record is from RNAcentral.
CCUACGGGUGGCAGCAGUGAGGAAUAUUGGUCAAUGGGCGUAAGCCUGAACCAGCCAAGUCGCGUGAGGGAUGAAGGUUCUAUGGAUCGUAAACCUCUUUUAUAAGGGAAUAAAGUGCGGGACGUGUCCCGUUUUGUAUGUACCUUAUGAAUAAGGAUCGGCUAACUCCGUGCCAGCAGCCGAGGUAAUACGGAGGAUCCGAGCGUUAUCCGGAUUUAUUGGGGUUAAAGGGUGCGUAGGCGGCCUUUUAAGUCAGCGGGGAAAGUCUGUGGCGCAACCAUAGAAUUGCCGUUGAAACUGGGAGGCUUGAGUAUGUUUGAGGCAGGCGGAAUGCGUGGUGUAGCGGUGAAAUGCUUAGAUAUCACGCAGAACCCCGAUUGCGAAGGCAGCCUGCCAAGCCAUGACUGACGCUGAUGCACGAAAGCGUGGGGAUCAAACAGGAUUAGAUACCCGGGUAGUC